RNAcentral lists this ribosomal RNA (433 nucleotides) under uncultured bacterium. RNAcentral's name for it is "partial 16S ribosomal RNA". It matches the Rfam family "Bacterial small subunit ribosomal RNA", at positions 29 to 507 of the family's 1533-position model. The record is from RNAcentral.
AACGAACGCUGGCGGCAUGCCUAACACAUGCAAGUCGAACGAGACCUUCGGGUCUAGUUGCGCACGGGUGCGUAACGCGUUGGAACCUGCCCUUAGGUUCGGCAUAACUCCCCGAAAGGGGUGCUAAUACCGUAUAAUGUCUUCGGACCAAAGGUUUAUCGCCUUUGGAUGGGCCCGCGUUGGAUUAGCUAUUUGGUAUGGUAAAAGCCUACCAAGGCGACGUUCCAUAGCUGGUCUGAGAGGAGGAUCAGCCACACUGGGACUGAGACACGGCCAAGAGUCCUACGGGAGGCAGCGGUAGGGAAUAUUGGACAGUGGGCGAAAGCGUGGACCAGCGAUGCCGCGUGAGGGAUGAAGGCCUUAGGGUUGUAAAGCUCUUUGAACCGGGAGGAUAAUGACAGUACCGGGAGAAUAAGCACCGGCUAACUCCGUG